UCACCACCUAACUCGACAUUAUCGAUCGAACCAUGCGUACACCACCGUUAAAUAUCGUUUAGGAAGAUAAAGACUACGUUCAGUCUCCAAGAAAUAGUUGAGUUAUCGAAUUAACUAAAAGCUAAAACUAUCGUUAACACGGCAAUGCGCAAAUCGAUUAAAUGUAUCUGUACAGAAAAAAAAGAAAGGUAAAAAUAUUUGUUUUUAUCGAGACGUAAUACAUGCUUCGAAAAAAAUGUGUACAUUUUGAAUGCAAUUUACUACUACCCUUUCCUUCCUAUUUAAUUAAAGACUAAUUAAUGUACCCUCUGUCUCUCUCUCACACACUAUCUUACACUUUUCUUUCACUCUCUCCUUACCGAACACGUUUCUUCUCUUCUUCUCAUUCUCUCUUUCUUUCUCUCUCUCUCUCUCCAUCCAUUACCUUUCCCUUUCGUUUUCUUUAUUCACAGCUAAUUAAGACUAAUAAGGUCUUUACUUAUCUCAUCUGUUCUUUUUUCGUUCCGAAUCACAAACCUUCGACCUUAAAACCUUUAAACCUUUUAAAUUUCCUUUUUUUUUCACCAUUUUCCCUCGAGAGUAGAAUCAAAACAAAGAAAAGAAAAAUAAAACAGAUCGAAGAAAAUUGUAGUGUGUACAGAAGUGUAUAUAUGUGGUAUACAUAGACGUUAAUAUGUCGACAUUAUGCGUGCACGAAUGGCCGUGCACGCAAAAUGUACAAACUUUUUUAAAAAAGAAAUACGUACGCCCCUAUAUCGAUAUAUUUUGUCCUGCUUUUUUUAAAGAUAUACAUUUACACGAGCAGACAUACGAGUGCGUGUACAUACAUAUACGUUGCAAUGAAUAAUAUAUAUAUAUAUCAUAUAUAUGUAUAUAUACAUAUAUAUUUGGAAUAUAUAUACAUAUAUAUAAAAAAUUGUAUAUAUACGUGUAUAUAUACAGAAUAGUAUGUAAACAUGUGUUCUCUCUCAACAUCUCCGCUCUCUGUAUUGUGUGUAAUAAUAGUAAUUAAUAAUAAUAAUCAAUCAUCGUUCAUUAAAUCGUUAUCAGUAAACGCGCAUAAUAUUAUAAUUUUCACCACGACAAAAAAUCUCUCGCUCUCUCUCUCUCUCUCUCUCUCUCUCUCGCUCGCUCUCUCUCUCUCUCUCUCUCUCUCUCUCAAUCUGUAAUAGUUUUCGCUCUUAAUUUCUUUUUCUCGUGCUUACUCCACCUACGUAAUUAUUCCUUUCCUUCCUCUCUCUCUUUAUCCUAUCCUGUUUUUCUUUUUUUUUUUUUUUUACUUCUUUCGUCUUCUCUCUUUCUUGAUUCUACAACUCUAAUUUCUUAGAUUCUUCCUUAAGAGAAUUCUUAAAGGUAGAGACAAUGCGCUUUGGCCUGGUGUGUAUAUAUAUAUAUAUAUAUAUAUAUAUAUAUGUAUAUAUAUUUUUUUUUUUACUGCUACUGUGCUGAUAAUGGAGUGUUCGACUUCGUCUGGAUUAUGAAUACACAUAUCCCCAAAAAAAGAAAUUCACAUGCAAUUUUUUCUAGCUAAGGAAAUUUUUGUUUGAAAUUCUUGACAGCGUGUUAUUCGCUUAACACGAUUAAAAAGUCGGACACUCCAUUCGGUACAGAGAGUUUUCUAGCCUAGGUCACUGGGAAUGAGAUGGACAGAAAGCGUGCGAGCG
RNAcentral lists this unclassified non-coding RNA (1664 nucleotides) under Bombus terrestris (buff-tailed bumblebee). RNAcentral's name for it is "misc RNA ENSBTSG00005038356.1". The record is from RNAcentral. Lineage: Eukaryota; Metazoa; Arthropoda; Insecta; Hymenoptera; Apidae.